AAAUAAAUAAAUAAGUAAAUAAAUAAAUAAAUAAAUAAAUAAACAAGUAAAUAAAUAAAUAAGUAAAUAAAUAAAUAAGUAAAUAAAUAAAUAAGUAAAUAAAUAAAUAAGUAAAUAAAUAAAUAAAUAAGUAAAUAAAUUAAUAAGGUACAUUAUAAAGAAAAGAAGAACAACAAAGUUGUAUUAUAAAACUGUAAUUUUUUAUUUGUGUUGCACUAGUAAAGAAAAUAGUAUUAUAUCUAUUUACAUUGUUAGGUAACAAAGAAAGAGAAAGGGGAGAAAUAUAUAUACUGAUAUAGUAGUGGCAUGCUCAUAUAUAUAUAUAUACAUGCGAACAGAUAUAUAAACAUAUUAGGUGUGUUUCCAGUGGAAGCUACUAUAUAAAUAAUACUGUAGAAGAACAUAAUAGUGGUACACUUAAAAUGUAUAGUAAUACUAAAGCAAAUUAUAGUAACUUUCAGAGUAGUAAGCCUAAGCAUGAUGUAAUAAAAAGCUCAGUAUAUCGUACAAACAGUACAAGCGAAAUGAACAACAUGUACAACCCUAAUAAUGCUACAUAUAACCCUAAUAAUGCUACAUAUAACCCUAAUAAUGCGACAUAUAGCCCCAAUAAUGCAACGUAUAGCCCCAACAAUGCAACGUAUAGCCCCAAUAAUGCGACAUAUAGCCCCAAUAAUGUGAUGUUAACCCCAAACGACACUAUGUUCGACCCAAGCGACACCAUGUACGGACCAACUGAUACCAUGUAUAGCAGAAACGAUGCCAUUUACAGCAGAAAUGACACCAUAUAUGGGCCGAACGAUACGAUUUAUAGCAGAAACGACACCAUGUAUAGUAUGAACGACAACAUGUAUAGUAGGAAUGAUACAAUAUACAGCAAGAAUAACACACUAUUAGGUAAAAACUUAAUUAUGGGGAGUUUAAAUGAAAUGCAAAGUAAAACAUUAAAAGGAAUAAAUUAUAACAUAACAGAAAAUUUGAAAGAAAGUAUAAAAGAAUGUAUGCAAGAAAGUAUGAAUGAAAAGAAUGAAAAUUAUACUAAUUCUUUUGCCAAUUUAUUAUACUUUAAAAUGCUAAAAUUAAAUAAAAAAUUAUUUAGUAAGUUAGAAAAUAAAAACGUUGUAAUAUAUUUGAAAUAUAAAAAUACUGUAUGUACAAGUGAAAAUAUAAAAAUAACAAAUCACGAAAUGAAUGAUUUAUUUUUAUGUUUUUUAAUUACUGAACCAUUUAUAAAGGAUGAAAAAAAAUUAAUAAAAGUAUAUAUUAAAUAUUUUAAAAAUAAUAAAUAUAAAAUAUUAUCUUUCGGAUUAAUACAAUUAAAUUUUGAAGAAUUCACAGAAAAUUUUUACAAUAAAAAAAUAUAUUUGUUAUGUUAUGAUAAAAAAAAAAAUAAAUAUGUAUUUGGCUAUUUUAUAAUAAUGUUAGCAAAUCAAAUAAAAUGGACAGUAUGUAAUCAAAGGAUCACCUAUGAACAUAUUAACAAUUCUUAUUUUGUAUAUAAUAAAAAUAAUUACGAUCGACAGAUAUUUUAUAUUUGUAGAGAAAUACAAAAAGCGUUAUUGCAAGCUUGUUACAAUGAUCAAUCAAACCAAAUAAACCAAACAAACCAAAUAAACCAAACAAACCAAACAAAUCAAACAAACCAAACAAAUCAAUCAAACCAAACAAAUCAAUCAAACCAAACAAAUCAAUCAAACCAAACAAAUCAAAUACAUUAUGAUAACUUCGAUAAACAAAUUAAUCAAGUUAAAAAUUUAAAAAAAAGAGGUUUAUUAAAACAUUUUACUGUUACUCAAAGUUGUCCUGGUACAUUCAGAUAUGGUAGAGAAAAAUCUGAUAACAUAGAUAAAGAGCUUAAAAAUAUAAUACAAAUACCAAUUAGAACCUAUCAGAGUGAUAAUUUAAUAAAACAACACACAUACUAUGAUUUACCAAUAACUACAAAAAAUAAUAAAAUUUUAAAUGGUGAAGAACAAGAAGUUGGUAACAGUAUAUAUUAUACUAACGAAAAUAAUAAACAUGAACAGAUUUAUAAAGCAAUGGAACAAACUUAUUAUAAUAGAAACAUAAAUGAACAAAAUAUAAAACAAACAAACGUUAAUGUAGUAAGUGACGAAACAACAGAUACUUUCAUUAAAACAUAUACUCUCCCAAAAAAUAUAAAUGAAACUUGUGAACAUGAAAAUCAUAUAUAUGAUAUUGCGAAACACCCAGAAAAGAAUACUCUUUUACCAAAGUUAAACGAAUUUAUUAAUAAACAAACUACCUUUACAUCUCCAUUAUAUAUAACUGAUGAAAAUGAUAAAAUAACUACUAGGGACGAUAAAACAAAAACAGAGCAACAUGACUUACAGAACAAUAUAAUCAAUCUGCAAAACACAAACUAUGACACAACUCUAACAAACGAUAUUCUUGAGAAAGAUGUUUUAACUUUCAAUAAAAAGCAAAAAAGUCAAACUGGGUUGUUUUAUGUGGACAAAAAUAUACCUGCGGAUGAACCGGAUUAUGUUGAAGCGGAUAUAAAGGAAAAGAGGGUAGAGCAGGAGGUAGAGCAGGAAGUAGAACAGGAAGUAGAACAG
Molecule: long non-coding RNA, 2579 nt
Organism: Piliocolobus tephrosceles (Ugandan red Colobus)
Lineage: Eukaryota; Metazoa; Chordata; Mammalia; Primates; Cercopithecidae
Source: Ensembl